UUAAAAUCAAUGGAGGCACAACUCAGUGAAGCCCUUUAGUCCAGUGGGAACAAGUACAAAAACAACUCAGACUCAACGGAAGGCAUAUAGGCUGCAGCUGUAACCAAGAAGCUUGAAGAAGAACUCCUGAAAUGAGAUGCCCUUGUUGAGUAUCCCAAUGCCUGUUUUUGAGCGGAACACCUAAAAUGGAGUAUGUGAGAGAGGAAGGAGAGGGAAGGGGGCGUUUAUGAGGCUGUGAGAGGGGCAAUCUGGUAAACUAUCCAAGUGGAGGCGAUUUUGAGACCCUCCAUUUGUGGAUGCUAUUAGUGUAUAGACCGCAGUAAGACGUUUCUUGUUGCAGCUGACAUGGAACCGUCAAAGAUGGAUAUCUAUAAGGCUCGAGCUGAAGUGGCUUCUACCAAAGGAACUGAUGUAAAUAUGCAGGAUGCUCCUGUGACUCAGAAUGGUACUCAAGAGAGAGGAGAUUAUCCUGCUUAGAUGGAAGCAGAUGCCAAGGGCACUCAACUUCUAGCCAUAGAUGUUGCUGCAGUACAAGAUUUCUAAGCUCUUAGAAGAACUUUGAACCGAUUUGGCAUUAGCAAUUG
RNAcentral lists this long non-coding RNA (584 nucleotides) under Helianthus annuus (common sunflower). RNAcentral's name for it is "hypothetical non coding rna". Lineage: Eukaryota; Viridiplantae; Streptophyta; Magnoliopsida; Asterales; Asteraceae. The record is from RNAcentral.